AGCUUCAUAGCUCAAUGGUAGAGCAGCGGUCUUUUAAACCGAGCAUCAGAGUUCGAUUCUCUGUGGGGCUA
This 71-nucleotide transfer RNA is filed under the name Porticoccus sp. RNAcentral's name for it is "tRNA-Lys". It matches the Rfam family "tRNA". From Rfam's summary of the family: Transfer RNA (tRNA) molecules are approximately 80 nucleotides in length. Their secondary structure includes four short double-helical elements and three loops (D, anti-codon, and T loops). Lineage: Bacteria; Pseudomonadati; Pseudomonadota; Gammaproteobacteria; Cellvibrionales; Porticoccaceae. The record is from RNAcentral.